Molecule: transfer RNA, 67 nt
Filed under: Limnophyes minimus
Lineage: Eukaryota; Metazoa; Arthropoda; Insecta; Diptera; Chironomidae
Description: tRNA-Gly
Source: RNAcentral
AUCUAUAAAGUAUAAUAGUAUAUAUGACUUCCAAUCAUAAGGUUUAGUAACUUAACUAAUAUAGAUA